UACGUAGGGGGCAAGCGUUGUCCGGAAUCAUUGGGCGUAAAGAGCGCGUAGGCGGCCCAGUAAGUCCGCUCUGAAAGUCAGGGGCUCAACCCCUGAAUGCGGGUGGAUACUGCUGGGCUAGAGUCCGGAAGAGGCGAGUGGAAUUCCUGGUGUAGCGGUGAAAUGCGCAGAUAUCGGGAGGAACACCGGUGGCGAAGGCGGUUCUCUGGGCCUUACCUGACGCUGAGGAGCGAAAGCGUGGGGAGCGAACAGG
Molecule: ribosomal RNA, 253 nt
Filed under: uncultured bacterium
Lineage: Bacteria
Description: partial 16S ribosomal RNA
Rfam family: Bacterial small subunit ribosomal RNA
Source: RNAcentral